Molecule: ribosomal RNA, 194 nt
Filed under: uncultured bacterium
Lineage: Bacteria
Description: partial 16S ribosomal RNA
Rfam family: Bacterial small subunit ribosomal RNA
Source: RNAcentral
CCUACGGGAGGCAGCAGUGGGGAAUCUUCCGCAAUGGGCGAAAGCCUGACGGAGCAACGCCGCGUGAGUGAUGAAGGGUUUCGGCUCGUAAAACUCUGUUAUUAGGGAAGAACAAAUGUGUAAGUAACUGUGCACGUCUUGACGGUACCUAAUCAGAAAGCCACGGCUAACUACGUGCCAGCAGCCGCGGUAAU